CCGGGCGUGGCGGAAUUGGUAGACGCAAGGGACUUAAAAUCCCUCGGAGGUCUCUCCAUGCCGGUUCGAGCCCGGCCGCCCGGA
Molecule: transfer RNA, 84 nt
Filed under: Pararhodospirillum photometricum DSM 122
Lineage: Bacteria; Pseudomonadati; Pseudomonadota; Alphaproteobacteria; Rhodospirillales; Rhodospirillaceae
Rfam family: tRNA
About the family: Transfer RNA (tRNA) molecules are approximately 80 nucleotides in length. Their secondary structure includes four short double-helical elements and three loops (D, anti-codon, and T loops).
Source: Rfam by way of RNAcentral